Molecule: non-coding RNA, 284 nt
Organism: Pelobates cultripes (western spadefoot toad)
Lineage: Eukaryota; Metazoa; Chordata; Amphibia; Anura; Pelobatidae
Source: the annotation of a GenBank genome assembly
GUCAUUUGCUUAUAAGUAUAUUUGGAGCUAUUAAAGUUACAUGUUUACAAAUAUUUAUAUAAAAAUGACAUAAAAACACAGAACAUAUUAUGAUAUAUACACACACACAUACAACUUAACCAUUAAGGCUUAACAUGUCUUGUUGGAAACUGCCUUUAGCUGUUUUUAGUUGUAGAAUGUAUCUACUUUGAAUUUAUUUUAUAAAUAUUGAUGUUGAUAAUUUAACACACUAUUUUGCACAUUUGCAUAAUAUAUAUUUGUUAAAAUAUUAGUAUGUAUUAAAC